Molecule: ribosomal RNA, 237 nt
Filed under: uncultured bacterium
Lineage: Bacteria
Description: partial 16S ribosomal RNA
Rfam family: Bacterial small subunit ribosomal RNA
Source: RNAcentral
CCGCACGGGUGAGUAACGCGUAUGCAACUUACCUAUCAGAGGGGGAUAACCCGGCGAAAGUCGGACUAAUACCGCAUGAAGCAGGGGCCCCGCAUGGGGAUAUUUGCUAAAGAUUCAUCGCUGAUAGAUAGGCAUGCGUUCCAUUAGGCAGUUGGCGGGGUAACGGCCCACCGAACCGACGAUGGAUAGGGGUUCUGAGAGGAAGGUCCCCCACAUUGGUACUGAGACACGGACCAA